Long non-coding RNA from Neogale vison (American mink), 1384 nucleotides. RefSeq lists it as uncharacterized. The record is from RefSeq and is a predicted model, not a curated record. The transcript is spliced from 2 exons. Lineage: Eukaryota; Metazoa; Chordata; Mammalia; Carnivora; Mustelidae.
CCUCCCUUCCCUGAAGUGUCACAGAUGACUUCCAUGAGCGGUUUGAUUGGUAGAAAGGAUCUGACAUCUGCCACUAGCCUGAAGCUCUCCCUUUCCUCCGUUUGCUUUUUACAGGGCUGCUGGGAACAAGUUUGGACUUGAGUGAACAAGAAGGUGUGAGACCCUCAGCAAAGUCGACUGAGCACUAUUUCAGACAGCCCGGCCCCACACCCAUCGGUGAAGUCUGUGGCAGUGACCGGAGGAGAGAGUAGAGCUGGGAAGCUGUUCGCUGGGCCCGAGGAAGCCCGUCCUGACAUCUGGGAGCCCUGCCCUACUCACCAGGCUGCACAGGAUGGGCAGGAAGAUGGUGAUGGUGGCUGGGUUGCUCACGAACUCUGUGACAAUGGACACCAGGAUGCAUGCCAACAGGGUGACAGCCCACGGUGGGAGGCCACUCAGAGACAACAUCUGGUGCCCAAUCCACGUGGAGAGGCCAGAGCUCUGCAGGGAGAUGGGUGAUACAGUAAGAAGAGAGGAGGAAGAGCACAUUCCCCCUGGAAUUCUUAGACUCCAGAAGGUCAGGGAUGUUGGGGGGCUGGCAGGAAACACUAGGAGUCAUCUAAUCUGCCUUCCUACUUUCAGGCAGACUGGAUCCAGAGGCAUUCCUGACUUGAUGAUGAGGUGGUUUUUACAGCCUAGAAAAUUCCUUACGAUCGUGUAACAUUCAGUCUCGGGGUUUUCUGGACAAUCAUCACAGCGCAUGGAGAGCUGCCCGUCCUAAUGGCUAUGAUUCUUGCCGGGAUUAUGCAGGGGCUGGAGAUCUUCGGGACCACAGGCCUCUCAGCUUCAAUCUCCUCACUCUCUCCAGCCUCUGACAUUCUCACUGUGUGCAUCCAGUCAACGGUGAUUCUGACACAGACUCCCCAGUAUAAUCCUUAAUUCUGCUUUUGAAAUCUAGCUCUCUUAUCACCGGUAAAAGGGGGAAAAUUAUCAACAUCCUUGGACAGUAACUUUUCCUGUAGUUUGUGGGGAGUCAGUGGGCAGGGCUGAACACCAGAAGCUUUGCAUACACGGAUUCCCAGUCUAUCCGCUCUCAGUGGGAAGGUGCCACCUGGCUGGCCUACAAAGCUAGUCAUGGUGGUCCAUCCUGUGUCAGGUUCAGUCUCAUCACGGCUGACGUUGGGAUCUGCAAUCCACCAGUGCUUUCUCACAACAUAAGAUAAGAAGGCAUGUUGCUGCUCUUGAACCUUUUCCAUUAGCAAAAUUUAUAUAGAUCUACUCAAAUAAAUGAGUUAUUUCCCACUUGGACUAACUUCUGUGGUUGGAUGCUGUUCCUUUGCCAGUGGUGAAGAUUCCUUCCCUCCCUUAGAAAAUAAAGGACACCGCUGACUUUUUGUACUAAAAA